Molecule: long non-coding RNA, 2472 nt
Organism: Oncorhynchus tshawytscha (Chinook salmon)
Lineage: Eukaryota; Metazoa; Chordata; Actinopteri; Salmoniformes; Salmonidae
Source: Ensembl
CCAAAGGUGCGGACUCCGGCCACAAAACCUGACUCUAAAGGGGAGCGUCCGGGUUGGCCUUCUUUGCGGCUCUGGUGCGGGACGUGGACCCCGCUCCACCUUAGGCUUGGCCCACUUAGGUGGCGCCGGACAGGCGGGAGACUCUGGCGGGAGGAGACGGAGAGACAGCCUGGUCCUUGGAAGUGGCACAGGAUAGACCGGGACGUGGAGGCGCACUGGAGGUCUCGAACUAAGGGCCUGCACAACCCAUUCUGGCUGGAUUUUAGCCCGGAACGUGCGGGGCGCAGGCACCGGACGCACUGGGCCGCGCAGACACACGGGAGACAGUGCGCAGCGCCGACCCAGGAUGUCCUGGCCCGAGGAGACGCACUGGAGGUCUGGAGAGCAGGGCUGGCACCAUCCGUCCUGGCUUGAUCCUCACCCUAGCCCGGCAGAUGUGGGGAGCUGGGAUGUAGCGCACCAGGCUAAGAACGCGUACUGGAGACACUGUGCGCUCCACCGCAUAACACGGUGCCUGACCAGUACAAUGCCCGCCAUGGUAAGCACGUCUUGGAGAGCUGUAGCGCCGAGCUGCCACAGGACGUGCAGGGCUAGGAAGGCGCACAGGAGGCCUGGUGCGUGGGGCUGGCACAGUCUUCACCAGACGGCUAGCACACACCUCAGGACGAGUAUGGAGAGCUGAUUCAGGUGUCAUCAAAUCCCAGACACGCUCUGUCGGGCAGAUGUCAUGCCUCAUGCACCAACACAGCUUCGCUUCUGUCGCUCACCUCCAAUUUCGCCCUGACCGGCUCUGGUUCAAUCCUUGGCUCCUUACGAUAAGCACUGGAAGUUGGCCCAGGUCUGAAUCUUGACUCUGCCACACUACCAGUGUGCCCUACCAAAAAAUAUUGGGGGCUGCCUCUCGGGCCUCCUUGCCAGCCAUGCCAACUCCUCGUAGUGUUUCCGCUCUGCCUUAGCUGCCUCCAGUUCCUCCUGUGGACGGCUAUACUACCCAGCCUGUGCCCAGGGUCCCUUGCCUUCCAGUAUCUCCUCCCAUGUCCAUUUCUCCAGAUAGCACUGCUGCUCCUCACCACGCUGCUUGGUCCUUUGGUGGUGGGUAGUUCUGUAACGGCCGUUGGUGGAAGAAGGUGAGGACCAAGGUGCAGCGUGAUAAGUGUUCAUCAUUUUCAUGGUAAAACUGAACACUAUCAAACACGCAACAAAAGAACAACCGAAACAGCUCUGUCAGGUGCAAAACACACGAAACAGAAAAUAACUACCCACACCACACAGGUGGGAAAAGGCUACCUAAGUAUGGUUCUCAAUCAGAGACAACGAUAGACAGCUGCCUCUGAUUGAGAACCACACCCGGCCAAACAAACACAGAAAUCCAAAACAUAGAAAAUGACCAUAGAAAGCCCACCCUAGUCACACCCUGGCCUAACCAAAAUAGAGAAUAAAAACCUCUCUAUGGCCAGGGCGUGACAUAUAUGUUGUCACUGUGGCCAAGAGGAGGCGUUCUUGGCUCUCUACAUUUUUUUGGUCGGUGACUGAACCAUUUGAUUUAGAAGUUAGGGCUUGAUUCAAUCCGUAGUGCAGAAGAAAUGUAAAGGCAAUGUUUCCAUGUCAGAGACUGCAUUCAUGGUAAAUGCUGUCUGCUCAAUCGGAAAUUAACUUAACAUUUUUUCAAUUUCUGUGAUUCUCUUAUAAAAUGGGUAUAAGUAUUGUAUAGCAACACCAGGUGUAAAAUAGUAAAUAACGGCUACUUCUCAGAGAGAUUUGAAUUGUCAAGAGGAGGAGUUGGAGGAGUAGAGAGGAGGAGUUGGGAGAUGAUAAUCCCAAAUCAAAUCAAAUCAAAUGUGUUUAUAUAGCUCUUCGUACAUCAGCUGAUAUCUCAAAGUGCUGUACAGAAACCCAGCCUAAAACCCCAAACAGCAAGCAAUGCAGGUGUAGAAGCACAGUGGCUAGGAAAAACUCCCUAGAAAGGCCAAAACCUAGGAAGAAACCUAGAGAGGAACCAGGCUAUGUGGGGUGGCCAGUCCUCUUCUGGCUGUGCCGGGUGGAGAUUAUAACAGAACAUGGCCAAGAUGUUCAAAUGUUCAUAAAUGACCAGCAUGGUCAAAUAAUAAUAAUCACAGGCAGAACAGUUGAAACUGGAGCAGCAGCACGGCGAAGUAAACUGGGGGCAGCAAGGAGUCAUCAUGUCAGGUAGUCCUGAGGCAUGGUCCUAGGGCUCAGGUCCUCAGAGAGAGAGAAAGAAAGAGAGAAAGAGAGAAUUAGAGAACGCACACUUAGAUUCACACAGGACACCGAAUAGGACAGGAGAAGUACUCCAGAUAUAACAAACUGACCCAAGCCCCCGACACAUAAACUACUGCAGCAUAAAUACUGGAGGCUGAGACAGGAGGGGUCAGGAGACACUGUGGCCCCAUCCGAUGACACCCCCGGACAGGGCCAAACAGGAAGGAUAUAACCCCCCCUACUUUGCCAAAG